UACGAAGGGGGCUAGCGUUGUUCGGAAUCACUGGGCGUAAAGGGCGCGUAGGCGGCUUUAUAAGUCGGGGGUGAAAGCCUGUGGCUCAACCACAGAAUUGCCUUCGAUACUGUAGAGCUUGAGACCGGAAGAGGUAAGUGGAACUGCGAGUGUAGAGGUGAAAUUCGUAGAUAUUCGCAAGAACACCAGUGGCGAAGGCGGCUUACUGGUCCGGUUCUGACGCUGAGGCGCGAAAGCGUGGGGAGCAAAUAGG
Molecule: ribosomal RNA, 253 nt
Filed under: uncultured bacterium
Lineage: Bacteria
Description: partial 16S ribosomal RNA
Rfam family: Bacterial small subunit ribosomal RNA
Source: RNAcentral